RNAcentral lists this ribosomal RNA (632 nucleotides) under uncultured marine eukaryote. RNAcentral's name for it is "SSU rRNA". It matches the Rfam family "Eukaryotic small subunit ribosomal RNA", at positions 617 to 1262 of the family's 1831-position model. The record is from RNAcentral.
AGUUAAAAAGCUCGUAGUUGGAUUUUGGUUAAGAGGGCGCGGUCGGCCGUUUGGUCUGUACUGCGUUGUCUUGACUUCCUGAUGAGGACAUGCUCUUGGUUAACGCUGAGACAUGGAGUCAUCGUGGUUACUUUGAAAAAAUUAGAGUGUUCAAAGCGGGCUUACGCUUGAAUAUAUUAGCAUGGAAUAACACUAUAGGACUCCUGUCCUAUCUCGUUGGUCUCGGGAUGGGAGUAUGAUUAAGAGGAACAGUUGGGGGCAUUCGUAUUUCAUUGUCAGAGGUGAAAUUCUUGGAUUUAUGAAAGACGAACUUCUGCGAAAGCAUUUGCCAAGGAUGUUUUCAUUAAUCAAGAACGAAAGUUGGGGGCUCGAAGAUGAUUAGAUACCAUCCUAGUCUCAACCAUAAACGAUGCCGACUAGGGAUUGGUGGAUGUUAAUUGAUGACUUCACCAGCACCUUAUGAGAAAUCAAAGUUUUUGGGUUCCGGGGGGAGUAUGGUCGCAAGGCUGAAACUUAAAGGAAUUGACGGAAAGGCACCACCAGGCGUGGAGCCUGCGGCUUAAUUUGACUCAACACGGGGAAACUUACCAGGUCCAGACAUAAGUAUGAUUGACAGAUUGAGAGCUCUUUCU